CAUUUUUCGAUAAAUCUCCUAUUUCUAGGGACUAAUAUCAUUUUUUGACAAGUCUUUUAUUUUUAGGGAUC
Non-coding RNA from Populus trichocarpa (black cottonwood), 71 nucleotides. The record is from Rfam. NCBI's taxonomy places the organism in Eukaryota, Viridiplantae, Streptophyta, Magnoliopsida, Malpighiales, Salicaceae.